GCAUAUCAAUAAGCGGAGGAAAAGAAACCAACAGGGAUUGCCCUAGUAACGGCGAAGUGAAGCGGCAACAGCUCAAAUUUGAAAUCUGGCGCAAGCCCGAGUUGUAAUUUGUAGAGGAUGCUUCUGGGUAGCGACCGAUCUAAGUUCCUUGGAACAGGACGUCAUAGAGGGUGAGAAUCCCGUAUGUGACCGGCCCGCACCCUUUACGUAGCUCCUUCGACGAGUCGAGUUGUUUGGGAAUGCAGCUCUAAAUGGGAGGUAAAUUUCUUCUAAAGCUAAAUACCGGCCAGAGACCGAUAGCGCACAAGUAGAGUGAUCGAAAGAUGAAAAGUACUUUGGAAAGAGAGUUAAAAAGCACGUGAAAUUGUUGAAAGGGAAGCGCCUGCAACCAGACUUCGCGGCAGUGUUCCGCCGGUCUUCUGACCGGUUCAUUCUCUGUCGCGAGGCCAUCAUCGUCUGGGCCCGCCGGAUAAGACCUGAGGAAUGUGGCUCCCCCUCGGGGGAGUGUUAUAGCCUCUGGUGAUGCGGCGUGGCUCGGGCGAGGUCCGCGCUUCGGCAAGGAUGAUGGCGUAAUGGUUGUCGGCGGCCCGUCUUGAAACACGGACCAAGGAGUCUAACAUCUAUGCGAGUGUUCGGGUGUCAAACCCCUACGCGUAAUGAAAGUGAACGGAGGUGGGAACCGCAAGGUGCACCAUCGACCGAUCCUGAUGUCCUCGGAUGGAUUUGAGUAAGAGCAUAGCUGUUGGGACCCGAAAGAUGGUGAACUAUGCCUGAAUAGGGUGAAGCCAGAGGAAACUCUGGUGGAGGCUCGCAGCGGUUUCUGACGUGCAAAUCGAUCGUCAAAUUUGGGUAUAGGGGGCGAAAGACUAAUCGAACUAUCUAGUAGCUGGGUUCUGUGA
This 899-nucleotide ribosomal RNA is filed under the name Cercospora zinniae. Its description in RNAcentral is "LSU rRNA". It matches the Rfam family "Eukaryotic large subunit ribosomal RNA", at positions 38 to 963 of the family's 3401-position model. The record is from RNAcentral. Lineage: Eukaryota; Fungi; Ascomycota; Dothideomycetes; Mycosphaerellales; Mycosphaerellaceae.